CUCCCCUCGGCAGGGCGGGCGGUGCCCGUGGCCCCCAAUCCGGGCGGCGGCUCCGCCCUCCUCACCGUGGGGCCGGACCUGCCCCGGCGGCCUCGGGACGUAGGGGGCAUUGUGGACGUCUUCCUGCUGACAGUUGUGUUGGCAUUCCGCUCAGAUUCAGACCAUGGCCACCACAGAGGACUUUCCUUUCCUGCAGCAGGACCGCACAAGAUCAUCUGAUCUGAGGAUCUGGAAGGCAUUUUUUUGUUUCACUUUCGGCAGUGAAGGAGCAUUUCCAUCAGAAGCCAGGAUGGGGAUGGUGAGAAAGAUGGUAGCUCACACUGUGUUCAUUUUCAAAAUGCAACUGCAUGUUUGUUUUCAGAAUGAAGGUUGGAGUUCAGGGCAUUAAAGUAUAACCUUCUUAGUAAGUAAAAACAUCCAUGUUUUUAUAGGACAGAACAAAUAUGGAAUUCUAACUGUUGGAUGUGGGUUUAUCUCUUUCUCAAUGUGAAGUUUCAGAAGUAUUUUAUUUAUUUAUUUUAUUUAACUCUUCUUGAAAGUGUAUUAUAUGUUCAUCUUACAUGGAAUGAAGCAAUGUCAAAGUACUGCAGUCCUGUCCUUGCAGUCCCAACUGAACUCUCUGCUGACUUCAGUUGUCUGGCUAGAUCUGUACUGUAUUUUAAAAGUACCCUUGAAGCUAGGCUUACAGCCAGAUUUAGUUGCUGUCCGUGCUGCUUACCUGAGAUAGUGUCCCUUGCAUUGGCUGUGUGGCAAUUCUGCUGAUACUGCUGGAGGGGGGAUGGUGUAGGUGUGUACUUUGCACUGCAAAGUUGUACCAACUGCAAUGUGGACUUGCCUCAGCAGCCCAUACCCAGCACAGCCACAGAAGGAACACUGUAUUAAUAUCAAGCAAAAUCCUUUCUAAGAGAUGUCUAUAUUGCUGCUGCAAUUACCUAUAAAGGUAAUUUUUGUCUGGAGUCAUUGCAUCAUUGUGCAUCCUGGGUGCCAAAAUCAGAUAGCUCAGGUGUAGAAUAGAGGUAAACUUUGUUUGCUAAUAAGUGACCUAACCGGCUUGUAACUGUGUUGUUCAAGUGGCUUUUAGAUGGAAAGAGUUGUGACUGGCACAGAGCUCCCAGAUCUUCCCAGAAGAGUAAAGAACUGUUCACCUGUUUUGCAGCUUCAUAGGUGUUUUAAAGCUCUGUUACUUCAAUACCGUGUCAUUUAGGCUAUGUUUUCAUAUUCUAAAUUUCAUGCAUAAUGGCAGUUGGAACAGGAUAGUAAAUGUGACAAUAGUAACCAUGUUGGUAAAAUACAUAAAUAUAAUUUUUUAAAGCAUUUAUUCACAAAAUAGUUUUAUGGUUUUCACUGCGUUAUAUAAAAAAACACUAGACCUUUUUCAGAUAUGGUAAUAAUAGCCCUCACAUUUCUGUCUGCAUGAAUAAUUAUAUCUGUCUUUAUCACUGCUGUUAAAUAUGCCACAGCACAUUCCUAAUGUUCUGAUUAUCUUUUCUCUUCCUCUGAACUACAAAUUCAAGAGAAAAAGUUGUCAACGUUUAGGAAUUGUUUCUUCAAGAUAAAUUAUUGAGGCCAUUUAUUUUAAGGUCAGAGAAUUACAUCAGCUGCUGGUCCAAAAUUUCAACUAACUUUCAUUCUGAGAUUUGUUAAUUGUCAAAAAAAAAAAAUAAAGAAAGAAAGAAGUAAGUGUACAAUCCUUA
Long non-coding RNA from Numida meleagris (helmeted guineafowl), 1694 nucleotides. RefSeq lists it as uncharacterized. Lineage: Eukaryota; Metazoa; Chordata; Aves; Galliformes; Numididae. The record is from RefSeq and is a predicted model, not a curated record. The transcript is spliced from 2 exons.